RNAcentral lists this ribosomal RNA (253 nucleotides) under uncultured bacterium. RNAcentral describes it as "partial 16S ribosomal RNA". It matches the Rfam family "Bacterial small subunit ribosomal RNA", at positions 524 to 776 of the family's 1533-position model. The record is from RNAcentral.
UACAGAGGGGGCAAGCGUUGUUCGGAAUUACUGGGCGUAAAGGGUGCGCAGGCGGUUCUGCAAGUCAGGCGUGAAAUCCCCGGGCUUAACCUGGGAAUGGCGCUUGAAACUACGGGACUGGAGUAUGGCAGAGGGAGGUGGAAUUCCACGUGUAGCGGUGAAAUGCGUAGAGAUGUGGAGGAACACCGAUGGCGAAGGCAGCCUCCUGGGCCAAUACUGACGCUCAUGCACGAAAGCGUGGGGAGCAAACAGG